GAAGCUUAUUAAAGUAAAUCACAGCAUCUUCAGUAGGAAUUCUUUUGUUUCUUUUAUUUGAAGAGGUCCAGUCUACAGUCAGUCCACCUGCUCAGGAUUUCUAUCCCUGACCAGGACAGGAUCCUGUUGGUUGUCAGAAAAAAUGUCUUAGAGAAAAGAUUUUUUUUUUUACUAUUUUGCUAAAUAGUUUAAGGACUAAGAGAUUAGUUGUUAGUUUUCAGAUAUUAGCUCACACAAGGUGCAACAGUUAGCAUGUUUCACCUGAAAAAAAGCAGAAAAUUAUGAAAUGUGUUUGACAGCUAUAGGUGCUAGAUUGUAAUGUCACCAAAUAUAUGUGAAGCAAGGGUUCAUUUUAAUUUUUUAAUUAAUUUUAAUCUAAAUCUGUGUUUACACAAAGUCAGAAAACUAGUCACUUCACACAGAACCCUCUUCUUGGUCCCGAUCACACCAUUCUGGUCGUGGCCCUUCACAGCAGGUCGAGAGGGCCUGGAGCCUGCUCAUUGCUAUCACUUAUUGCUUUAAUCCUUCUGCUCACUGUGCUAUGGAUAAGCCCGGAGUGAAAGGGGCCCGCAGGGCCACGCUGACUAACUUCACAGACUCCAGUGGAGCUUGACUUCCCCGGCUGCUGGACAUUCUAAUGUGUUUAGGAAAUGCUGGCUGAACGGUACACUGGAUAAUAUGCAACUGAUGCGUACUCUUACUCUAUGAAGUGGGGUUGUGAUGAGAGGUUAUGAUUAGUCAGUAUCUUCCCUGCUGUAACAAAGGUUCGAAAUGAGAUUUUUCAAUUAGAGUCAAACAUUUACACAUUUUGAUGUUUGCAUCUGUUUUGCAACAAUAAUGUUUUGGUUUGUCCUUGAAUAACUCUUACUAAAAGACAUAGACAAUUAUUGAAGUUAAUGAUUUUAAAUACAAUAAAAAGUAAGGCCACUACCUGAUGAUCAUAAAUUAAUAGCCAAACAGCUCUUACUCUCACUUGUAGUUUUAUGAUUACCUGCCUGGUGGAGUAUGAUAUUACAGAACAAAAAAGGUGAAUUUUCAAACUGAAAGCCUGAUUUAUAGAAUAAACAAGUUCUCU
Molecule: long non-coding RNA, 1075 nt
Organism: Poecilia latipinna (sailfin molly)
Lineage: Eukaryota; Metazoa; Chordata; Actinopteri; Cyprinodontiformes; Poeciliidae
Exons: 2
Source: RefSeq, a predicted model, not a curated record